UACGAGGGGGGCGAGCGUUGUUCGGAAUUACUGGGCGUAAAGGGCGCGUAGGCGGAUAGUCUCGUCAGAGGUGAAAGCCCAGGGCUCAACCUUGGAAUUGCCUUUGAUACUGGCUAUCUUGAGUUCGGGAGAGGUGAGUGGAAUGCCGAGUGUAGAGGUGAAAUUCGUAGAUAUUCGGCGGAACACCAGUGGCGAAGGCGACUUACUGGACACAUAUUGACGCUGAGGUGCGAAAGCGUGGGGAUCAAACAGG
This 253-nucleotide ribosomal RNA is filed under the name uncultured bacterium. RNAcentral's name for it is "partial 16S ribosomal RNA". It matches the Rfam family "Bacterial small subunit ribosomal RNA", at positions 524 to 776 of the family's 1533-position model. The record is from RNAcentral.